Non-coding RNA from Podarcis lilfordi (Lilford's wall lizard), 624 nucleotides. NCBI's taxonomy places the organism in Eukaryota, Metazoa, Chordata, Lepidosauria, Squamata, Lacertidae. The record is from the annotation of a GenBank genome assembly.
AGAUCUCGUGGGAGGGGGGGCUUUUGAAUUUGUUUUGGAGGCUCCUUCAAUUGACUUAUGGGGGGAAAGAAAGGAGCUGGUUGACUAAAAUGGUGGUUGACUGGCGGUCUCGUGGCGAGGGGGGGGAGACUGUGUGUGUGUGUGGCUAGUUAAUGCAAGCUGAGGGGUUUUUUGAAUGCUGGACACCAUUUUGUUACACGUGCUGCUGCAAACUUUGCAGUGCAAAGCCAGACCAGGGAGCCAUCUUAAGUUGAGGCUGCAUAGGCCUUGUGGUGCAUGUGAUUCAGAUUCUAUUCAGUUGAACCUCUGGUUACAAAGCUGGUUGGACAGUGUUCUCAAAGCUACCAGCAUGAGUUUGACCAGACUGCAGGAGGACAGGAAGACUGGAGUGCCUGGAACAGGUGAGGCUGCUGGUCCCUUAUUUUCAAGGCUGCAGGUCCCUUAUUUUGGCUGCUGAUCCCUUAUUUUCAAGGCUGCUGGUCCCUUAUUUUCAAAUCUGUAAGUUGACAGCUAGGGUAGGAGCUGUUUAACCAUGGAAGGAACACCCUUAAAAGCUGGCGGACUCUCCUUCCUUGGGGGUUUUAAACCAGUGUUUCCCAAAAUUGGGUCUCCAGCUGCUUUCAG